AGCAGUAGCCGCGGUAAUACGGAGGGUGCAAGCGUUAAUCGGAAUUACUGGGCGUAAAGCGUGCGUAGGCGGUUCGUUAAGUCUGUUGUGAAAGCCCCGGGCCCAACCUGGGAAUGGCAAUGGAUACUGGCGAGCUAGAGUGUGUCAGAGGAUGGUGGAAUUCCCGGUGUAGCGGUGAAAUGCGUAGAGAUCGGGAGGAACAUCAGUGGCGAAGGCGGCCAUCUGGGACAACACUGACGCUGAGGCACGAAAGCGUGGGGAGCAAACAGGAUUAGAUACCCGUGUAGUCCCUGUCUCUUAUAC
Molecule: ribosomal RNA, 303 nt
Filed under: uncultured bacterium
Lineage: Bacteria
Description: partial 16S ribosomal RNA
Rfam family: Bacterial small subunit ribosomal RNA
Source: RNAcentral